This 800-nucleotide ribosomal RNA is filed under the name Escherichia coli. RNAcentral describes it as "partial 23S ribosomal RNA". It matches the Rfam family "Bacterial large subunit ribosomal RNA", at positions 390 to 1191 of the family's 2925-position model. Lineage: Bacteria; Pseudomonadati; Pseudomonadota; Gammaproteobacteria; Enterobacterales; Enterobacteriaceae. The record is from RNAcentral.
GCACAUGCUGUGAGCUCGAUGAGUAGGGCGGGACACGUGGUAUCCUGUCUGAAUAUGGGGGGACCAUCCUCCAAGGCUAAAUACUCCUGACUGACCGAUAGUGAACCAGUACCGUGAGGGAAAGGCGAAAAGAACCCCGGCGAGGGGAGUGAAAAAGAACCUGAAACCGUGUACGUACAAGCAGUGGGAGCCUCUUUUAUGGGGUGACUGCGUACCUUUUGUAUAAUGGGUCAGCGACUUAUAUUCUGUAGCAAGGUUAACCGAAUAGGGGAGCCGAAGGGAAACCGAGUCUUAACUGGGCGUUAAGUUGCAGGGUAUAGACCCGAAACCCGGUGAUCUAGCCAUGGGCAGGUUGAAGGUUGGGUAACACUAACUGGAGGACCGAACCGACUAAUGUUGAAAAAUUAGCGGAUGACUUGUGGCUGGGGGUGAAAGGCCAAUCAAACCGGGAGAUAGCUGGUUCUCCCCGAAAGCUAUUUAGGUAGCGCCUCGUGAAUUCAUCUCCGGGGGUAGAGCACUGUUUCGGCAAGGGGGUCAUCCCGACUUACCAACCCGAUGCAAACUGCGAAUACCGGAGAAUGUUAUCACGGGAGACACACGGCGGGUGCUAACGUCCGUCGUGAAGAGGGAAACAACCCAGACCGCCAGCUAAGGUCCCAAAGUCAUGGUUAAGUGGGAAACGAUGUGGGAAGGCCCAGACAGCCAGGAUGUUGGCUUAGAAGCAGCCAUCAUUUAAAGAAAGCGUAAUAGCUCACUGGUCGAGUCGGCCUGCGCGGAAGAUGUAACGGGGCUAAACCAUG